This 177-nucleotide ribosomal RNA is filed under the name uncultured Lachnospiraceae bacterium. Its description in RNAcentral is "partial 16S ribosomal RNA". It matches the Rfam family "Bacterial small subunit ribosomal RNA", at positions 1206 to 1382 of the family's 1533-position model. Lineage: Bacteria; Bacillati; Bacillota; Clostridia; Lachnospirales; Lachnospiraceae. The record is from RNAcentral.
GACUUGGGCUACACACGUGCUACAAUGGCGUAAACAAAGAGACGCAACCCUGUGAAGGCAAGCAAAUCUCAAAAAUAACGUCUCAGUUCGGAUUGUAGUCUGCAACUCGACUACAUGAAGCUGGAAUCGCUAGUAAUCGCGAAUCAGAAUGUCGCGGUGAAUACGUUCCCGGGUCUU